CUGCCGCGAGAUAUCGCACGGACGGACGCCUAACAACGCCAGCUGGACGAUCCUUCGGCGGACGUAGUCUGGCAGUGGCCGUCCAUUGACGAAUACGCCACCCAAUUGGUUGACCCCGGCUUGACCUGUCCACCAAUAAUAAACCUGUAUGGGGCAUGAUCCAGCGACCGGAAUCCAGCAGUUUAAUAAGGGGCGGAUGACGAGCUAUGAACGAGGGGCGGAAAAAUGACGUCCUGCUGAAACGAUCGAAAUGGGAUUGUUUGAAUAAAACAAAUUCUCCGGAUGAUUGAAAUUUUACCUUUUUGAAAUUGGCGAUGUAUGAAAAUCCGCACAAAACUGGAGAACUCACUUUAAUUACUUGCGACGCAGACGACCGAGUGAACCGACAAGAGCGGCCGGAAUUGCAGCGAUUUGGACUUUUAUAGAUGCGCGGUGAAGAAGUGAUUUCGGAGGAGGAUGAGGCGCCACCAAUCACCGGCGUAUCGGUUUCUGGAGGGGGGCAUAAACGAAACGGCUUUCAAAAGGACCGCACACACACACACACACACACACGGACAAUAACAAAGCCAUUCAUCAAGUCUCAUCGCCGGACCCCCCUAUCCAUAUCCGCUCCUAUACAGGAAGGUUCCGAAGAGGGGGUAAAAAAGGCUCUUUUGUGUGUCAGAUGAGAAGAGUAUUGGCUUGAUGAUUCGCUGGAAAAACGCCGUUUGCGCUGUACACAAGAGCUGCUGGGCCGCGCCAACUGUCCAAUCGAUCAAGUCGUCGCGCACAGUAUAUAGUUACCUCACUAAAUAAAUCGAGAGAAAAAAAGGCGACAGCUAUAAUAUUCUUUUGGGUUGUACACACACACAAUAGGAGCAGAGAGAGACUGUUGAAUGUGCUACGAGUAUAUUAUACACACAUCAACAUACACAAGAGAAGAAGAAGAGUCAGUUAUUUGGUAAGGGGGGCGACAAAGUUACCGAUCCGGAACAUGGAUACCCUCAUCGACUUAUAUGGUAUAUCCCAACAAUGACACGCAGUCAUAUGCGAUGUCACUUGGAAAAAAAUCAAAGAGAGGAUAGCAGAGACUGUUAUAUAUCCUAUUGCUAAAUGUAUUUGAUACGAUUUUUCUUUUAUGUUCUAAAGUUGAGAGCUGUAGUUGAUACUCCCUAUUCAAACGGGGUCACAUUUAUAUAACUACAGACGCGCUCUCAGCACAGAAGUGGAAAAGCUUUUUUUCUGCUAUGACGACGUAAUAGUUGAUUUCGAUUCCGGUGCGCUCUGGCAUCGGCGGAGUGAGAAAAGUUUCCUUCUUCGCGCGUAUCAGGCGCCGGCCAAACUCUCCCCUGAGGAUCCCAGCAUCAUCGGACAAUGUAUAGCAUUCGGGGCUAGUUUGAGCUCUCUCUGUCCUCCUUUGACACACUCCCGACGUCUGCUGCUGUGAGUGUCGUCGGUGCUCUCAAUGUAAUCGAGAAUUCAUAAACCCACUCGCUCCGUGGAUUCAAUUCCGUCCUGCAUGGUGGUGGUGCGUUGCUGAGAAACUCUCUGCCGAAAAGAAAAAAACCCAUUUUCGUUAGCUCUUUUGUCAUCCGGAAAUUGACUGCUGGCCCCUUUAACAAAACAUUAUUUCUCGUCUAGAGCUAUAUAGGAGCAGCAGCAGCCGCUGGCGCAGUUAUUCAAGCGCGGGAUUUUAUAAUUACGGCGAUAGCCAUCGUUUUGUUGAGCCCGCAAAAGACGACGGCGACAAUUGAAAAUAGAUGCGCCGCCUUUAUAUGUGAAGAGCCCGCGCCAUUAUGGAGGUGUAAUCCGGGCUGGUGUGUUUGUGUCUAUCCCUAUCUGUUACGACACCAACAAUAUGAGCCGCGGACGCCUUAUUGGAAACUCUCUCUCACCCCCGGGCGGACAACAGUCGAGAUAAGCAGAACGUGAGCGUUGACAGCACACACACAGCAGCGGAGAUGAUCUGUUUGGUCGUUUCGAAUUGUUGUUUGCUAUUUUUUUUUUCCCGGGCUGCUCUCAAGUGUUGGAUAAUCGAGGAGCGUGUUCACAAAAGGAGCAAACGCGGUAUAUCGAUCAUUACAUGAAUGAAAUAACAACUCGACGACCCUUCAUAUCUCCUCCCCCCCUUUCUAUUGUGAGAGUCGAUGGGAGUCGGCCGGCCGUAACCAGCAACCUAUAUAAUAGAACUGACACUC
This is a long non-coding RNA of Daphnia pulicaria, 2177 nucleotides long. RefSeq lists it as uncharacterized. NCBI's taxonomy places the organism in Eukaryota, Metazoa, Arthropoda, Branchiopoda, Diplostraca, Daphniidae. The transcript has 4 exons. The record is from RefSeq and is a predicted model, not a curated record.